Molecule: non-coding RNA, 161 nt
Organism: Hydra vulgaris (swiftwater hydra)
Lineage: Eukaryota; Metazoa; Cnidaria; Hydrozoa; Anthoathecata; Hydridae
Source: RefSeq, a predicted model, not a curated record
UUAAAAAAGUCUUGUCUGUAGACGCCUGUCUCUGUAUUAAACAAAAGUAAAACGAGAUUGGAAAAAGUGAUCAUAAUUACCUCUGUGAUUAAGGUGAAGGGAGUAGCAGCAAAAAGGGAAGUAGCAAAAAAAUUGAAUGGGACAGGGCAAGGUGAUCUUCA